AGCGUUUGGUCAAAUGUCAGUUUGGUGUAGAAAAAUGGUGGCCUAAUGAUGGUAGCAUAAUAAUGAUAUGUUAAUGGGAUUGGACCACUGUAGCAUCUAUUUAUCUAUUUAAAUUAUUAAUUUUGCAGUAAAAAAGGAAAUUAAUAUAGUAGUAAAACUUAUUGGGUUUAUUUUAAAGAUAUAGUUAGACCAUUAUUAUGGGCUGACCAAACGUACUGGGCCGACCCAUAAUAAUAGCCAAGCUAUAGAUUAGACUUUGAGAUUUACUAAUUGAUAGAGAAAUUACGGGGAAUUUUCUGAUCGAUAAUAUGAAAUGGCGGACGAAAGGAAAGCGGAGAUACCUGCGAUAUGGGAUGCCUUCCUCGAUUUAGGCUUCCGUCGUUUCGUUUAUUCCUCGCUCGCCGGCGCCGUCUCCGGCGUCUUUAUUUUCCAGGAGAGGCAUUCUGCUGAGGGAUUUAUGGAGCCGUACCCAAUUCCGGCUGCGGAAUUGCAGUAGGUCUCGACGUGCCGUCGCUCCUCUGCAAGUUGAUGUUGUUAAGGAUGAUGUGAGUGCAAGGAACUGUGUCACUGCAAGCAAACUUCAUGGCCUUUUGGCUUCUUGAUGUCCCGGUUAUAUUUCGAUACAUUAUUUGGGUUAUGUUGACUGCUGACGUCUGAUGACACAAGAAAUGAGGUUGUUAGGUCGUAUAGUGUGUGUGCACGUGUUGGUUAGAGGUAUCAAAAGAUCGGGGCAGUACAUUGUUACCUUAAAAGCCCGAUGGAUUGACAGUUCUAGUGGUGAAAGUGUACCUGGUUUUGGAAACUCUUUGGCGAGUCACAGUAGAAUUGGUCUAUGAUGAUCGGGUUGGUAACGUCUUCCAUUCUGACGUCUUGGUAGCGCACUGCACGCACAUAGCCGGAGCCUCCCUGCAACAGCAACAGGGCAUAUAUAGCCACUUCGGAUAGCAAAAAGUAUUAUUAUAAGGUCUUUUCAGUAAGGAAGGAUUGAUAAUGGUUCUCCAUUUCUCCCCAGCUUGAUGCUCAAGGGAAAAGUGUCUUACUAAACUGAUCUGUAUUUUGUUGUCAAAGGAAGUAUUAUAAGUUACCUGCCAAGUCUUGAUUCUGAGGCCAUUGGUCGUGCCUCGGAAGAGGAAGAAUUUGAGGAUAGUGUAAGUGGAGAUCAAGAGGAUGAAGCAAUGGAGGAUGAAGAUAAAAUGGAUGCCGAUGAUAGUGAUGAUGAUGAGCUAGAAGACUAUGUUGAGCUUGAUGAUUGAUGUCUAUUGAGCUUAUCAUGGUUUUAUUUUUUGUUGAACACUUGAACUAAAGACUUUAAUUGCUAGACUUUUAUAUAAUUGUUUUCUAUUUUAUGCUUUAUUACAUGUUUUUAGAGUUUUUAAUGUUA
Long non-coding RNA from Salvia splendens (bonfire salvia), 1381 nucleotides. RefSeq lists it as uncharacterized. NCBI's taxonomy places the organism in Eukaryota, Viridiplantae, Streptophyta, Magnoliopsida, Lamiales, Lamiaceae. The transcript is spliced from 2 exons. The record is from RefSeq and is a predicted model, not a curated record.